This 488-nucleotide ribosomal RNA is filed under the name Achromobacter xylosoxidans. RNAcentral describes it as "bacterial SSU rRNA". It matches the Rfam family "Bacterial small subunit ribosomal RNA", at positions 30 to 514 of the family's 1533-position model. Lineage: Bacteria; Pseudomonadati; Pseudomonadota; Betaproteobacteria; Burkholderiales; Alcaligenaceae. The record is from RNAcentral.
UUGACGCUAGCGGGAUGCUUCAUGCAGUCGAACGGCNGCACGGACUUCGGUCUGGUGGCGAGUGGCGAACGGGUGAGUAAUGUAUCGGAACGUGCCCAGUAAGCGGGGGAUAACUACGCGAAAAGCGUNAGCUAAUACCGCAUACGCCCUACGGGGGAAAAGCAGGGGAUCUUCGGACCUUGCACUAUUGGAGCGGCCGAUAUCGGAUUAGCUAGUUGGUGGGGUAACGGCCUACCAAGGCGACGAUCCGUAGCUGGUUUGAGAGGACGACCAGCCACACUGGGACUGAGACACGGCCCAGACUCCUACGGGAGGCAGCAGUGGGGAAUUUUGGACAAUGGGGGAAACCCUGAUCCAGCCAUCCCGCGUGUGCGAUGAAGGCCUUCGGGUUGUAAAGCACUUUUGGCAGGAAAGAAACGUCGCGGGCUAAUACCCCGCGAAACUGACGGUACCUGCAGAAUAAGCACCGGCUAACUACGUGCACACCG